Molecule: unclassified non-coding RNA, 379 nt
Filed under: soil metagenome
Description: partial contains 5.8S ribosomal RNA, internal transcribed spacer 2, and large subunit ribosomal RNA
Rfam family: 5.8S ribosomal RNA (bases 1-120)
Source: RNAcentral
GAUGAAGAACGUAGCGAAAUGCGAUAAGUAAUGUGAAUUGCGGAAUUCAGUGAAUCAUCGAAUCUUUGAACGCACCUUGCACCCUUUGGCAUUCCGAAGGGUAUGCUCGUUUGAGUGUCAUUGUACUCUCACACUUCCAAUCUUUGGAUUGGGAGCGGUGGACUUGGGUGUUGCUGCUUACUGUGGCUCACCUCAAAUCGAUUCGUGCACCUCUUGGUUGGACAUAGUACGGCGUGAUAAGUGUCUUCGCCGGCACCUCAGUAGAGGGUGGCUGAUCAGGAGCUCUGUGCUUCAAACCGUCCUCGGACAACAACUGACAACUUGACCUCAAAUCGAGUAGGACUACCCGCUGAACUUAAGCAUAUCAAUAAGCGGAGGA